GGCCGUUCUAUCGCUGUCCUGAAAAGGAGAGAGGAAAGUCCGGGCAACAAAGGGUAUCGUGCUUCCUAACGGGAAGAUGCUUGCGAAGGUAUAGUAGCGUAACAGAAAAUAACCGUUUCAGAGGAAUUUUAUUCGUUUGAAAUAAGGGUGAAAAGGUGGGGUAAGAGCCCACCGGUGCUGCGGGUGACCGUGGCAGCCGUACGCCUCACGAGUUGCAAGACCAUGUACACCGGCGCUGUUGGUUGGCCCGACCAAUGCCGGGGGGUAGGUCGCUUGAGCUGCAAAGUGAUUUGCAGAUUAGAUAAAUGAUAGAAACCGCAAGGUACAGAACCCGGCUUACAGGCCUGCUAU
This 351-nucleotide RNase P RNA is filed under the name uncultured Odoribacter sp. Its description in RNAcentral is "Bacterial RNase P class A". It matches the Rfam family "Bacterial RNase P class A". Rfam says of the family: Ribonuclease P (RNase P) is a ubiquitous endoribonuclease, found in archaea, bacteria and eukarya as well as chloroplasts and mitochondria. Lineage: Bacteria; Pseudomonadati; Bacteroidota; Bacteroidia; Bacteroidales; Odoribacteraceae. The record is from RNAcentral.